Molecule: ribosomal RNA, 449 nt
Filed under: uncultured bacterium
Lineage: Bacteria
Description: partial 16S ribosomal RNA
Rfam family: Bacterial small subunit ribosomal RNA
Source: RNAcentral
AAUGAACGCUGGCGGCAGGCCUAACACAUGCAAGUCGAACGGAUCCUUCGGGAUUAGUGGCGGACGGGUGAGUAACGCGUGGGAACAUACCCUUUGGUACGGAAUAGCCUCGGGAAACUGGGAGUAAUACCGUAGGUGGUCGAGAGACGAAAGAUUUAUCGCCAAAGGAUUGGCCCGCGUUGGAUUAGGUAGUGGGUGGGGUAAUGGCCUACCAAGCCGACGAUCCAUAGCUGGUUUGAGAGGAUGAUCAGCCACACUGGGACGGAGACACGGCCCAGACUCCUACGGGAGGCAGCAGUGAGGAAUCUUAGACAAUGGGGGAAACCCUGAUCCAGCCAUGCCGCGUGAUCGAUGAAGGCCUUAGGGUUGUAAAGAUCUUUCAGGUGGGAAGAUAAUGACAGUACCACCAGAAGAAGCCCCGGCUAACUCCGUGCCAGCAGCCGCAGUAA